This 253-nucleotide ribosomal RNA is filed under the name uncultured bacterium. Its description in RNAcentral is "partial 16S ribosomal RNA". It matches the Rfam family "Bacterial small subunit ribosomal RNA", at positions 524 to 776 of the family's 1533-position model. The record is from RNAcentral.
UACGUAGGUGGCAAGCGUUGUCCGGAUUUACUGGGCGUAAAGAGCGCGCAGGCGGUCGAAUAAGUCGAAUGUGAAAGCCCCCGGCUUAACUGGGGAGGGUCAUUCGAUACUGCUCGACUUGAAGGCAGGAGAGGGUAGUGGAAUUCCCGGUGUAGUGGUGAAAUGCGUAGAUAUCGGGAGGAACACCAGUGGCGAAGGCGGAUCUCUGGGCCUGUUCUGACGCUGAGGCGCGAAAGCUAGGGGAGCGAACAGG